RNAcentral lists this ribosomal RNA (200 nucleotides) under uncultured organism. RNAcentral describes it as "partial small subunit ribosomal RNA". It matches the Rfam family "Bacterial small subunit ribosomal RNA", at positions 1184 to 1382 of the family's 1533-position model. The record is from RNAcentral.
GUCAAGUCAUCAUGGCCUUUAUGGCCAGGGCUACACACGUGCUACAAUGGUGGAUACAGAGGGAAGCCAACGCGCGAGCGGGAGCCAAUCCCAGAAAGCCGGUCGUAGUCCGGAUCGCAGUCUGCAACUCGGCUGCGUGAAGUCGGAAUCGCUAGUAAUCGCGAAUCAGCGAUGUCGCGGUGAAUACGUUCCCGGGUCUU